Molecule: non-coding RNA, 420 nt
Organism: Monodelphis domestica (gray short-tailed opossum)
Lineage: Eukaryota; Metazoa; Chordata; Mammalia; Didelphimorphia; Didelphidae
Source: RefSeq, a predicted model, not a curated record
UCUAUACCUGAAUUUACUCAGUAGUAUUUGACCUCUAGGUCUCUGAGAGAUGACAUAAAAAAAAAUGGCACUGGAGAGAGAAAAAUUCACUUCUGAGAUUUGUUUGAAGGGGAUGCCCCUGCAGAAGGGUAGGCUCAACUAGAGGUCACUUUCUCAAUAACCCUCGAUGUACCAGACAUGCAGUAAAGUAGAAGACUUAGUUCUGCCCUCAGUCUCCAUCUACUAUCUUCUCAGACCAUGAAGAAAAAAGCAGUAAAAUAAUACAAGAUGUCAAUAAAAAGAAAAGGCUAGAAAUCACCACAAACGGCUCUGCAAAAGCAUCUGAUGGUUAUCAUCCCCUCUGUCCAGUGGGAUCUUGGCUGCUUUCUGAGAGAAGUGACUUGGAUUUUGUACCCUGUCUCCAUAGGAGUAAUAAAUCUU